CCUACGGGUGGCAGCAGUGGGGAAUAUUGGACAAUGGGCGAAAGCCUGAUCCAGCCAUGCCGCGUGUGUGAAGAAGGCCUUCGGGUUGUAAAGCACUUUCAGUGGGGAAGAAAGCCUUGGGGCUAAUACCCUCGAGGAAGGACAUCACCCACAGAAGAAGCACCGGCUAACUCCGUGCCAGCAGCCGCGGUAAUACGGAGGGUGCGAGCGUUAAUCGGAAUUACUGGGCGUAAAGCGCGCGUAGGCGGUCUGAUAAGCCGGUUGUGAAAGCCCCGGGCUCAACCUGGGAACGGCAUCCGGAACUGUCAGGCUAGAGUGCAGGAGAGGAAGGUAGAAUUCCCGGUGUAGCGGUGAAAUGCGUAGAGAUCGGGAGGAAUACCAGUGGCGAAGGCGGCCUUCUGGACUGACACUGAUGCUGAGGUGCGAAAGCGUGGGUAGCAAACAGGAUUAGAUACCCUUGUAGUC
Molecule: ribosomal RNA, 465 nt
Filed under: Vreelandella stevensii
Lineage: Bacteria; Pseudomonadati; Pseudomonadota; Gammaproteobacteria; Oceanospirillales; Halomonadaceae
Description: partial 16S ribosomal RNA
Rfam family: Bacterial small subunit ribosomal RNA
Source: RNAcentral